CGGGCAGAGUACUAAUUACACAUGGUAGUAGUGUUAGUUUCACUUUUCCUUCAUGGCUUUUCAAAAAGAGUCGAUCUGUGAAACAUAGCCACAAGCCUCGCUGGGUGCCAUUAGGUGUGUGCUGAAGAUGGCACAGCCAGGUCGGACUGUACGAGUGAGUGGGCUUCCCUCAGACAUCCAGGACGUCAGGCUUAAAGACAAACUUCUCAUCCAUUUCCAGCGUGUCAGCAAUGGCGGUGGGGACAUUGACUCAGUCAAUAUAGUCAAAGGGACACCCAUGUCAGCCCUCAUCACGUUCCAGGAGAGUAGAGUGGCACAGAGAAUCAUUCGUCACAGCCAGCACGUUCUGGUCAUCGAUGGGAGGAGUUACAAACUCACUGCAACAGAGCAUUGUGAAUGCAUGGACCCAAAUCAGGUCAUCAUUCAUUUGUCAGCCACUGUUGACUACAGGUGGCUGCCUGGAGGAUCACUGUUUCUGACAAACCUUCUUGAGAACCACAGAGAUGUCCGCAUAAACUACAUUGAGACAGAAAAAUGCAAGUUGUCUGGUACUUAUUCCAAAGUCCAGGCAGCUUUGACACAGCUACUCGGACACGUUGGACACUCAGAAUCAGCUAAAGAUAAACUAAAUGUUGAAAAGGUAUCGAGUGAAUCAAAGGGUGUUAAAACAGCACACAAAUCUCGUGUUCAGGAGACAGAGGACCAGAACAGAAUGGUUCAAAAGCAGAAAGGAGAAGCCAAGCAAGAUGAAAAUAAUUACUCACCUGGUGACAGUAGCUCAAAGGAUAUCGGACAGGCUGCACUGAUGCCCAAAGAGGAUUGUUCACUGAUUGUAGAUGCAGUGUUGUUCAAAUAUCUGCAGAAACACUACAGCAAGGAAUGUCAAAAAACUCUCAGGCAGUAUAAUGUCAGUAUGUUGGAUGUGACAAAUGAGGGUUUAACUACUCUGACUCUGGAACCAUUAACUGUAGCUAGAGCGUUUUUUAAACCGGGUCACUUAACAUUGGCAAAAGAAGCAAUACGCAGGUUUUACCAGAAGCAUGAGGCAGAGAUCAGGCAAGUCAAGAUUCCGAAGACCCCACUGCCUUCUAAGGGACAGCUGGAAAGAGCAAUGGAAAGCCUAUGUACCAGAUAUCCCAAGCUUCUUGUGAGUGAAGAUGACCACUAUAUUGACAUUAUUGGGAGCUGCAGCGACGUGUCUGAAGCCAGGAUGUUUCUCCAGAAUUUUGACAAUACAGAGAUAAUUUCAAAACCGGAGCAGGCAAGUUUACCAAAACACACCUCAAGUCAUGUGGAAAGAUUUCCAUCAUCCCACAUUGGAGAUCCUUUGCUUAAGACAUUGUGGACAGAAGAGAAACAAAAGAUUCCCCAUAGACCCAAAAAGCCUAAACUGGCAGCUCAGUUCAAAGAUUUGGUUGCUUUUGGCCAUCGGUCAGCUGACAUCGGAAUUGGAACAAAUUCAUCUUGCAGUGGACAAAGCCGUCCUGGACCAAUGUUGGGUCUCAAUGUACUAUCAAAACCUGCAAAGGUUUCUGAUGAGCCUAUUUCCAGAGCAUUACCUCAAAGCAUUGCUUCGGACAUUUUGUUCAAAAAUAGUACCACUUUGCCAGCAUCAGUGCUGAACCCAGAACUAACGGAUGCUCGACCCAAGAGUUUAACACCUGUAAAACUAACUUCUCAGUUUAGUUUUACAGGAAACGCUGAUUUUCAACUAGUUGCAUCCAAAUCCACACUCAGACGCUCUAAUAGUUUCUCAGCGAUUCCUCAGGAAAAGGCUGUGGUUAUGGAGUCAAAAAGCCUGGAUAACUCCAGCAAAACUCCAGUGAGAUCCAGGGCCAGGUCUUCUAGUUUUAGCAGUGAAACCAACAAGGAAAAACAUGAGAUCACUGUUCCUUUGUCGAUUUGGGAAUACAUGAACCAGGUGCAUAGAGUCCAAAUAGACGACCUGACCUCUGAUGUCCUGAUGAAUGAGAGGUUGUCAGAUGAUUGUAAGCAUAAGAUACUGACCCUAAGGGGUGCAAACGAGGACAAAGUGAGUUUCAGCCAAUUAUGUCUCCAGCAGCUGGUUGACUCAUUGCGUUAUGACAUAUCUGUAAAUGAACUGUACCUGUCAGAAUUAGGAGUGUCCGACUCAAAGGAUGAAACCUUGCGGGCUUGCUGUUCUGAAAUGCAAAGUCGAUUUAAAAAGGUUUGUGUUAAAUUUACUAAACAUAGAAUGAUCAUUACCGGCCCAAGAAAUUUGUGUUCUCAGUUGUGUGCCACCUUGAGGGACGUCUUUUCUGGAAGUUUGGACCAAACUGAUAACCAGCCUAAGAGCACCGCCCCGUAUAACUCUAUGGGGAACUUUCCUUCCUCAUUGGAAAUAAAUAGGGAUCGUGUACCGGAGUAUGACAGUAAUAAGUUUUCAAGCAAAGCAGAGGGAAGCAGCAAAAUUCAGGGAUGGCAGACAACCUAUAAGAGUGACUUCUGUGAGAAAGAGGCAGCAAACGGAUUUACAAGUCUCCCAACAGUGAACAAAACAAGUACAGUUGACUCGACUCCUUCAUUUCUCGGGCUCACUGCUUCAGGAAAUGAUACAGAGGAAGGAAUAAAAGGUGACGGGCUGAACAACAGAGCUGGAGACGUCAAGCAGAUAGACAGUGUAGGGGAACACCAAGCAAAGACUGACAACUGA
Molecule: long non-coding RNA, 2674 nt
Organism: Gouania willdenowi (blunt-snouted clingfish)
Lineage: Eukaryota; Metazoa; Chordata; Actinopteri; Blenniiformes; Gobiesocidae
Source: Ensembl